CCUACGGGAGGCAGCAGUGGGGGAUAUUGCACAAUGGGGGGAACCCUGAUGCAGCGACGCCGCGUGGGUGAAGGAGCGUUUCGGCGCGUAAAGCCCUAUCGGCAGGGAAGAAGGAGGACGGUACCUGACUCAGAAGCCCCGGCUAACUACGUGCCAGCAGCCGCGGGAAUACGUAGGGGGCAAGCGUUAUCCGGAGUUACUGGGUGUACAGGGGGCGCAGGCGGCAGCGCAAGCCAGGAGUGAAAGCCCGGGGGUCAACCCCGGGACUGCGCUUGGAACUGCGCGGCUGGAGUGCAGGAGGGGCAGGCGGAAUGCCUGGUGUAGCGGUGAAAUGCGUAGAGAUCAGGAGGAACACCGGUGGCGAAGGCGGCCCGCUGGACGGCGACUGACGUUGAGGCCCGAAAGCGUGGGGAGCAAACAGGAUUAGAUACCCCAGUAGUC
RNAcentral lists this ribosomal RNA (441 nucleotides) under uncultured bacterium. RNAcentral describes it as "partial 16S ribosomal RNA". It matches the Rfam family "Bacterial small subunit ribosomal RNA", at positions 338 to 795 of the family's 1533-position model. The record is from RNAcentral.